This is a long non-coding RNA of Anolis carolinensis (green anole), 1633 nucleotides long. RefSeq lists it as uncharacterized. Lineage: Eukaryota; Metazoa; Chordata; Lepidosauria; Squamata; Anolidae. The record is from RefSeq and is a predicted model, not a curated record. The transcript has 2 exons.
CCGUCUCCGCACAAGGUCACAAAAAGACCCCACCCCUCCUUCCUCGGGACGGAUCCACGCGCCCGGCUCUCCGUCUCGGGUGGUUCAGCGGACAAGCACUGGGCUCCGCGCACGACAUUGCUUCAAAUAUUGUAUUUUUAAGAAUUACCUCCAGGAUCUGUGUAUAAGGGGUAAAUAUAUGAAACGUUAAUGAAUUCAUUGAAUUGUAUGGAAAUUCUAUGGAAAUAUAAACAUUGCAAAAUAUAAAUAAAUAUUCCAAAAUUGGCCGCCUCCCCGGCCCGGCAGCCCCCCUCCCCCACUCUAGGCUCAUCCCCACCCUUGGCUGCCUGCCCCCCAACCACCGAAGAGGGACUCCCCCCGUUUCUGCCUUCAGAUUCCCCUCGAGGGAGGAAGGAAGGAGGGAAGGAAGGAAGGGGGUCUUGUCUCUGCUCUAAGGGACUGGAAAGACUUCUUGGUUAGCCGCCCUCCCCCCGCCCCCCGCCACUUCACUUGCAGCCCGGUAACCCCCCCCCCCCCAAGGGCGGUAACCAGAGGGGGGGGGUUAAAAGUCCAACCCCCCCGUAAUGUGUCAGGUUAAAAAAGAACCUGGUUCACUCAUAAAUGGGUUAACCAGUUCAUGCGCAUGUAUUUUCCGGGCUGUAUGGCCAUGUUCCAGAAGUAUUCUCUCCUGACGUUUCACCCACAUCUAUGGCAGGCAUCCUCAGAGGUUGUGAGGUAGAAGAUGUGGGUGAAACGUCAGGAGAGAAUACUUCUGGAACAUGGCCAUACAGCCCGGAAAAUAUACAACAACCCAGUUCAUGUGUAAACCAGGUUUGGGGGGGGGGGGGUGUUGAACCCUGUUGGGAGGGUUCACCCAGGGGCGGUUCAACCGCGAGGCCAUUUAGGCACUUGCCUGUGGUGCCAUAAUCCCGGGGGCACAGUUGAGGCGCCCCCCUCCUCCUCCUUCGGGCCUUUGGCCUGGCCUGGGCCCGACUUCAGCCUGGGCCCUUCUGCGUAGACCCGCCAUUCCCGCACCACCCUGGCCACCAGCACCAGCACCGUUUUGUUCCAGUGGCUCCACUCUUCCUCCUACUGCCGCCAUCACGGACCGUUGGAAACUAGGCAAGAGGUCUGUUGGAAACUAGGUUUUGACCUAUAAAGUCCUAAACGGUUCUGGUCCAACUUACCUGUCUGAGGUAUCAGCCCACGAGAACCUUAAGAUCAUCCGGGGAGGCCCUGCUCUCGAUCCCACCUGCCUCACAAGCGUGGGAAGACAGGGCCUUCUCGGUGGUGGCUCCUCGGCUGUGGAACUCCCUCCCUAGUGACAUCCGGCAGGCUCCAUCCCUUCUGGGGUUUAGAAAGAAGUUGAAGACCUGGUUAUGUGCACAAGCGUUUAAUGAAUGAACUCAUUUAGCAUUGACAUGGAUUGGAUUAAGGCUCUUUCACAAGGUCUGAUGGAUGACUGGCAUAUAUAUUUGGCGUUGCACUAUGUUAAAUCUUUUAUAUAUUGUAUUUUACUAUUUUUAUUGUUUUAGUAUUUUAUUGUAUUAUGAUAUACUGGUACUGAUCCUACCAGUUGUGUAAGCCGGCUUGAGUCCCCUCGGGGAGAAGGGCGGGGUAGAAAUAUCGGAAAUAAAUAAAUAAAUAAAUUUUA